GCGGAGCGUCGUUUGCGACGCCCAACACACAAAACAAGCGGUGAAUGCUUUGGGGUGGGGUGACUGCGUACCUUUUGUAUAAUGGGUCAGCGACUUAUAUUCUGUAGCAAGGUUAACCGAAUAGGGGAGCCGGAGGGAAACCGAGUCUUAAUUGGGCGUUAAGUUGCAGGGUAUAGACCCGAAACCCGGUGAUCUAGCCAUGGGCAGGUUGAAGGUUGGGUAACACUAACUGGAGGACCGAACCGACUAAUGUUGAAAAAUUAGCGGAUGACCUGUGGCUGGGGGUGAAAGGCCAAUCAAACCGGGAGAUAGCUGGUUCUCCCCGAAAGCUAUUUAGGUAGCGCCUCGUGAAUUCAUCUCCGGGGGUAGAGCACUGUUUCGGCUAGGGGGCCAUCCCGGCUUACCAACCCGAUGCAAACUGCGAAUACCGGAGAAUGUUAUCACGGGAGACACACGGCGGGUGCUAACGUCCGUCGUGAAGAGGGAAACAACCCAGACCGCCAGCUAAGGUCCCAAAGUCAUGGUUAAGUGGGAAACGAUGUGGGAAGGCCCAGACAGCCAGGAUGUUGGCUUAGAAGCAGCCAUCAUUUAAAGAAAGCGUAAUAGCUCACUGGUCGAGUCGGCCUGCGCGGAAGAUGUAACGGGGCUAAACCAUGCACCGAAGCUGCGGCAGCGAACGUAUCACCCAAGACAACUUUACGGAGUUGACGAUUGACGGAGCGAAGCGACGUCAAAGCGUUCAUUAAAGUCGAGUUGGCUUAGGGAUACGUUCGUUGGGUAGGGGAGCGUUCUGUAAGCCUGUGAAGGUGUGUCGUGAGGCAUGCUGGAGGUAUCAGAAGUGCGAAUGCUGACAUAAGUAACGAUAAAGCGGGUGAAAAGCCCGCUCGCCGGAAGACCAAGGGUUCCUGUCCAACGUUAAUCGGGGCAGGGUGAGUCGACCCCUAAGGCGAGGCCGAAAGGCGUAGUCGAUGGGAAACGGGUUAAUAUUCCCGUACUUGGUGUUACUGCGAAGGGGGGACGGAGAAGGCUAUGUUGGCCGGGCGACGGUUGUCCCGGUUUAAGCGUGUAGGUGUGUGUUCCAGGUAAAUCCGGUUCACUUUAACACUGAGGCGUGACGACGAGGCACUACGGUGCUGAAGCAACAAAUGCCCUGCUUCCAGGAAAA
Molecule: ribosomal RNA, 1165 nt
Filed under: Salmonella enterica
Lineage: Bacteria; Pseudomonadati; Pseudomonadota; Gammaproteobacteria; Enterobacterales; Enterobacteriaceae
Description: partial 23S ribosomal RNA
Rfam family: Bacterial large subunit ribosomal RNA
Source: RNAcentral